ACUCCUACGGGAGGCAGCAGUAGGGAAUCUUCCGCAAUGGGCGCAAGCCUGACGGAGCAACGCCGCGUGAGUGAUGAAGGUUUUCGGAUCGUAAAGCUCUGUUGCCAGGGAAGAACGUCCGGUAGAGUAACUGCUGCCGGAGUGACGGUACCUGAGAAGAAAGCCCCGGCUAACUACGUGCCAGCAGCCGCGGUAAUACGUAGGGGGCAAGCGUUGUCCGGAAUUAUUGGGCGUAAAGCGCGCGCAGGCGGUUAUUUAAGUCUGGUGUUUAAACCUUGGGCUCAACCUGAGGUCGCACUGGAAACUGGGUGACUUGAGUACAGAAGAGGAAAGUGGAAUUCCACGUGUAGCGGUGAAAUGCGUAGAUAUGUGGAGGAACACCAGUGGCGAAGGCGACUUUCUGGGCUGUAACUGACGCUGAGGCGCGAAAGCGUGGGGAGCAAAUAGGAUUAGAUACCCUGGUAGUCCACGCCGUAAACGAUGAGUGCUAGGUGUUAGGGGUUUCGAUACCCUUGGUGCCGAAGUUAACACAGUAAGCACUCCGCCUGGGGAGUACGGUCGCAAGACUGAAACUGAAAGGAAUUGACGG
This 589-nucleotide ribosomal RNA is filed under the name uncultured bacterium. RNAcentral's name for it is "bacterial SSU rRNA". It matches the Rfam family "Bacterial small subunit ribosomal RNA", at positions 335 to 916 of the family's 1533-position model. The record is from RNAcentral.